This is a long non-coding RNA of Pseudomyrmex gracilis, 446 nucleotides long. RefSeq lists it as uncharacterized. NCBI's taxonomy places the organism in Eukaryota, Metazoa, Arthropoda, Insecta, Hymenoptera, Formicidae. The transcript has 2 exons. The record is from RefSeq and is a predicted model, not a curated record.
CUAAUCGUACUUAUCGCAGUUGUCGGCUCGCACCAGAUCUCAUCAAUAAAAUCGUCCGUCGGGGGAGUAAAACGUUUUCCUCCGUGUGUUUCCUACCUAGUGCCACAACUUCCGCUCCAAUCCGCUUGGCUCGCCAGCUGAACGGAAGACCGACACGGGCGAACGCGCGACGACGGAAUGAAAUGAACGGCCCAGGGAGGAAAAUUCUCGGAAUCUACUACCGUAAAUGGCGCCAGUGGGGGGCGGCGGAGGCGGUGGGAGACGGUCACGUGAUCCGCAGGCAUGCGUCGACGUUGUGGAAUCGCGCCAUCGUGAUUUAUCGAUAAUCCUCGCUGUCGACGCGCCACAACUGGUCUGUUUCUCUUGGCCUGCCGCUUCUCGUCUACGUCUUUCUCUUUCUCUCUUUCGUCUGUCGGGUGUGCGAAUAAAGAGAAAAAAAAAAAAAA